UUAAAUUGAAGAGUUUGAUCAUGGCUCAGAUUGAACGCUGGCGGCAGGCCUAACACAUGCAAGUCGAACGGUAACAGGAAUCAGCUUGCUGAUUCGCUGACGAGUGGCGGACGGGUGAGUAAUGUCUGGGAAACUGCCUGAUGGAGGGGGAUAACUACUGGAAACGGUAGCUAA
RNAcentral lists this ribosomal RNA (174 nucleotides) under Escherichia coli. RNAcentral describes it as "partial 16S ribosomal RNA". It matches the Rfam family "Bacterial small subunit ribosomal RNA", at positions 1 to 166 of the family's 1533-position model. Lineage: Bacteria; Pseudomonadati; Pseudomonadota; Gammaproteobacteria; Enterobacterales; Enterobacteriaceae. The record is from RNAcentral.